GACAUAGGUGGCGAACGUUAUCCGGAAUUACUGGGCGUAAAGUGUGCGUAGGUGGUUUAAUAAGUUACUGGUGGCAAAUCGGGGCCCAACCCUGUGGAAGUCAGUCAUACUAUUGAACUAGAGGACCGGAGAGGUUAACGGAAUGAUUUGUGUAGCGGUAAAAUGCUCAAAUAUGAAUUGGAACACCAAACGGCGAAGGCAGUUAACUAUUCGGUGCCUGACGUUGAGGCACGAAAGCGUGGGGAGCAAGACGG
This 254-nucleotide ribosomal RNA is filed under the name uncultured bacterium. Its description in RNAcentral is "partial 16S ribosomal RNA". It matches the Rfam family "Bacterial small subunit ribosomal RNA", at positions 524 to 776 of the family's 1533-position model. The record is from RNAcentral.